Molecule: ribosomal RNA, 468 nt
Filed under: uncultured bacterium
Lineage: Bacteria
Description: partial 16S ribosomal RNA
Rfam family: Bacterial small subunit ribosomal RNA
Source: RNAcentral
GACGAACGCUGGCGGCGUGCUUAACACAUGCAAGUCGAACGGAAAGGCCCUGCUUUUGUGGGGUGCUCGAGUGGCGAACGGGUGAGUAACACGUGAGUAACCUGCCCUUGACUUUGGGAUAACUUCAGGAAACUGGGGCUAAUACCGGAUAGGAGCUCCUGCUGCAUGGUGGGGGUUGGACAGUUUCGGCGGUUGGGGAUGGACUCGCGGCUUAUCAGCUUGUUGGUGGGGUAGUGGCUUACCAAGGCUUUGACGGGUAGCCGGCCUGAGAGGGUGACCGGCGACAUUGGGACUGAGAUACGGCCCAGACUCCUACGGGAGGCAGCAGUGGGGAAUAUUGCACAAUGGGCGGAAGCCUGAUGCAGCAACGCCGCGUGCGGGAUGACGGCCUUCGGGUUGUAAACCGCUGUCGCCUGUGACGAAGCGUGAGUGACGGUAAUGGGUAAAGAAGCACCGGCUAACUACGUG